GAUGAACGCUGGCGGCGUGCCUAAUACAUGCAAGUCGAGCGAACGGACGAGAAGCUUGCUUUUCUGAUGUUAGCGGCGGACGGGUGAGUAACACGUGGAUAACCUACCCAAAGACUGGGAUAACUUCGGGAAACCGGAGCUAAUACCGGAUAAUAUUUUGAACCGCAUGGUUCAAAAGUGAAAGACGGUCUUGCUGUCACUUAUAGAUGGAUCCGCGCUGCAUUAGCUAGUUGGUAAGGUAACGGCUUACCAAGGCAACGAUGCAUAGCCGACCUGAGAGGGUGAUCGGCCACACUGGAACUGAGACACGGUCCAGACUCCUACGGGAGGCAGCAGUAGGGAAUCUUCCGCAAUGGGCGAAAGCCUGACGGAGCAACGCCGCGUGAGUGAUGAAGGUCUUCGGAUCGUAAAACUCUGUUAUUAGGGAAGAACAUAUGUGUAAGUAACUGUGCACAUCUUGACGGUACCUAAUCAGAAAGCCACGGCUAACUACGUG
This 496-nucleotide ribosomal RNA is filed under the name uncultured bacterium. Its description in RNAcentral is "partial 16S ribosomal RNA". It matches the Rfam family "Bacterial small subunit ribosomal RNA", at positions 28 to 507 of the family's 1533-position model. The record is from RNAcentral.